GACGAACGCUGGCGGCGUGCCUAAUACAUGCCAGUAGAACGCUGAAGGAGGAGCUUGCUUCUCUGGAUGAGUUGCGAACGGGUGAGUAACGCGUAGGUAACCUGCCUGGUAGCGGGGGAUAACUAUUGGAAACGAUAGCUAAUACCGCAUAAGAGUAGAUGUUGCAUGACAUUUACUUAAAAGGUGCAAUUGCAUCACUACCAGAUGGACCUGCGUUGUAUUAGCUAGUUGGUGAGGUAACGGCUCACCAAGGCAACGAUACGUAGCCGACCUGAGAGGGUGAUCGGCCACACUGGGACUGAGACACGGCCCAGACUCCUACGGGAGGCAGCAGUAGGGAAUCUUCGGCAAUGGACGGAAGUCUGACCGAGCAACGCCGCGGGAGUGAAGAAGGGUUUCGGAUCGUAAAGCUCUGUUGUAAGAGAAGAACGAGUGUGAGAGUGGAAAGUUCACACUGUGACGGUAUCUUACCAGAAAGGGACGGCUAACUACGUG
This 495-nucleotide ribosomal RNA is filed under the name uncultured bacterium. RNAcentral's name for it is "partial 16S ribosomal RNA". It matches the Rfam family "Bacterial small subunit ribosomal RNA", at positions 28 to 507 of the family's 1533-position model. The record is from RNAcentral.